This 833-nucleotide ribosomal RNA is filed under the name Grosmannia abiocarpa. RNAcentral's name for it is "SSU rRNA". It matches the Rfam family "Eukaryotic small subunit ribosomal RNA", at positions 74 to 916 of the family's 1831-position model. Lineage: Eukaryota; Fungi; Ascomycota; Sordariomycetes; Ophiostomatales; Ophiostomataceae. The record is from RNAcentral.
UUAUACCGCGAAACUGCGAAUGGCUCAUUAAAUCAGUUAUCGUCUAUUUGAUAGUACCUUACUACUUGGAUAACCGUGGUAAUUCUAGAGCUAAUACAUGCUGAAAAUCCCGACUUCGGAAGGGUUGUAUUUAUUAGAUUAAAAACCAAUGCCCUUCGGGGCUCACUGGUGAUUCAUAAUAACUUCUCGAAUCGCACGGCCUUGCGCCGGCGAUGGCUCAUUCAAAUUUCUGCCCUAUCAACUUUCGACGGCUUGGUCUUGGCCAGCCGUGGUGACAACGGGUAACGGAGGGUUAGGGCUCGGCCCCGGAGAAGGAGCCUGAGAAACGGCUACUACAUCCAAGGAAGGCAGCAGGCGCGCAAAUUACCCAAUCCCGAUACGGGGAGGUAGUGACAAUAAAUACUGAUACAGGGCUCUUUUGGGUCUUGUAAUUGGAAUGAGUACAAUUUAAUUCCCUUAACGAGGAACAAUUGGAGGGCAAGUCUGGUGCCAGCAGCCGCGGUAAUUCCAGCUCCAAUAGCGUAUAUUAAAGUUGUUGCAGUUAAAAAGCUCGUAGUUGAACCUUGGGCCUGGCUGGCCGGUCCGCCUCACCGCGUGCACUGGUCCGGCCGGGCCUUUCCCUCUGGGGAACCGCAUGCCCUUCACUGGGCGUGUCGGGGAACCAGGACUUUUACUUUGAAAAAAUUAGAGUGUUCAAAGCAGGCUUAUGCUCGGAUACAUUAGCAUGGAAUAAUAGAAUAGGACGUGCGGUUCUAUUUUGUUGGUUUCUAGGACCGCCGUAAUGAUUAAUAGGGACAGUCGGGGGCAUCAGUAUUCAAUUGUCAGAGGUGAAA